AUAAUGGAGGAUGAUGUUUGGAUCCCAGGGUAUGAACUUACAUCCCAGGAAGCUGGAACAUAUUGGUACUUGCCGCCAGAAUGCUUUGAGCUCACCAAGAUCCCUUUAAUAUCAUCGAAGGUCAGUCUUGCUAUGAAUAAAUGUCCUUGCAGGGAAGAGGGUAGGGGAUUAUUGUGAUACAAGGAACUCCCUUUGUUUCUUGCGUCAUGCCUUUAUGAAUGUCUAAAUGGUUGAUGUCUGGUCAGCUGGGGUUCUAUUCUACUAAAUGCUCUUUGGCAGACGUCCUUUUGGGCAUGACCAAUCUCAAGAACGAAUAUUGCGUGAAGACACAAUUAUUAAAGCUCGCAGGGUUGAAUUCCCCUCAAAGCCUUCUGUCUCAAAUGAGGCAAAGGAUUUUAUUCGUCGAUGUCUAACGUAUAACCAAACUGAAAGACCAGAUGUUCUAACUGUUGCUCAAGAUCCGUAUCUUACAUACUCAAAGAAGUAGUGUACAAAGACAGAGAAGCAGGCUCGCAUGGGGCAGGAAGGUGGGUAGCUUCAAACUUGGAAAGCAAUUUGUUGCAAGAUCAACUUGGAAUUUUGUAUAGACUGUAAAGGUUUUCUAACUUUUUUUUUCCCUGGUUUUUCAGGCCAAGAGUUUAGUGCCCCUCUUUCUUUUGAGUAAA
Non-coding RNA from Jatropha curcas, 665 nucleotides. The record is from RefSeq and is a predicted model, not a curated record. NCBI's taxonomy places the organism in Eukaryota, Viridiplantae, Streptophyta, Magnoliopsida, Malpighiales, Euphorbiaceae.